UGUAGUUGCUCCUGUAACUCGCUCUGGAUAAGAGCAUCUGCUAAAUGACUAAAA
Molecule: non-coding RNA, 54 nt
Organism: Salmo salar (Atlantic salmon)
Lineage: Eukaryota; Metazoa; Chordata; Actinopteri; Salmoniformes; Salmonidae
Source: Rfam